AAUAAAAAUAAUAUAUAUAUAGUUUAGAUUUUGAUUCGUUAUUUGUUUUGAUUCGAAACGAAAAAUCCAAAGUUUUAUUGGAACCGUGCAUAUGAGUUUUAUAUUAAAAAUAUAAAGUAUAUAGUGUGAACACAUUUAUGAAUAUAGUGUGAACGCAUUAGCAUAUGUAUUAUCAAAUUAUCGUGAGGCUGCCACGUGUCUAUUAUAGUGUGAAUACAUUUAUUACAAUGUUUCUCCUUUAAUAUAUAAGGGAUUCUUGCUCUCUACUUUCUUCACAUCAAGAACAAAGACAAAAAAAAAAACAGAACACUGAAAUUUACGUUAUACCAAUAAAAUGGCAUUAUCAAAGCUUCAAUUUGUAGUCAUCUUCGUCUUAUGUUCUCACCUUGUUACUUGCCAGUCAAAAGGUGUAAGAGAGAAUGCUGAUCAUCCUUCACAGUGUGUCUACAGAGGUUCGUGUGAGAGCAACAGAGACUGUAAGAGUCAAUGUGGACCGCCUGAGUUUCCACCGGAGACCAUUGGCUCAUGCCAAGCUAGUCCUAGGGGUCAUGGCAACAUUUGUUGUUGUGCUAAAGAUUAAUAUUCUCUUUCCAGCUAAAAAGAAUAGUUUUUAUCUACUUUGAAAUAACUAUAUGUAAUAGUUGUUCUAAAGUUUUUUAAUCAAAAAAAAAGAAAGAAGUUUACUACGUUUUUUGUAUUAUAUUUAAAAGAAACAUCUACAAGAUUGGAUGUUUUUUGUUAUUCACUAUUUCAUAAAUUAGUAGAAUUCUAAAGAGAUCGUUAGGAAUCUCACCUCAGAGCUAAUCGAAUUUAUAAAAAAAAAAAUAUAAGAGAUAUAAAUUAAUUUAUAAUUUUUUGGUCGGUUUUUGAAUUGAUAAUCUAUGAUGCUUUAGCAAUUAGCAGUAAUCAAUAUGUUACAUAAAAUUUGAUAACUUUUGUUAAGUGAUAAAUGAAAUAGAAAAUUCAAAUGAAAAAGAAUUAACUAUAUAUGCAUUUUUCAACAAGCUAAAUUAUAUUUUUUUUGUGAAUACAAAGAUUUCCAAUUACAAUCAAAUAUUAUUACAUAAGACGGCGAGAAAGUUUUUAGCUAGUAUGAUCAAUAUGACAAUAUAUAAUCAUUUGUGUGGUUAUUAGAGAGAAAUUUCCUACACGUGCCUAGACUUCACUUCGAAAUGUGUUACAAAUGAAUAUGUUAACUUCACUUUGACCAUUGAUUAUAAGUUCAUAACUACGUAGAGAGCCCUCUUAUGUUUUGCAUGUGCAUGCGGAAAUAUAAAAUAAAAACCCGCUUAUUAACAAACGACCAUGAAACGAAAUUAUAAAAUUAAAUUUCCUUUUUUUUGAAUAAACUUGGGAUGAUUUAGAUGGACCUCCAUAAUCAUCCUAUAAUCAUGGAAACUGACUUCAGAAAAAAAGAAAGAAAAAUGAACUUUUAAAAAAUCUUUGCCACACUCAAACGAAACUAAAAACAAUGAAACUAGAACUUUAGAUGGACCUCCAUAAUCAUGGAAACUGAUUUCAGAAAAAAGAAAGAAAAAUGAACUUUUAAAAAAAAUCUUUGCCACACUCAAACGAAACUAAAACAACAAUGAAGCUGGAACUAUUAAGAAAAGAAAAGAAACAAUAAAUAUAUGAUAAGGGAAACAAAAACAGUUAAUUUUUCAAAAAAAAAAACAGUUAAUUAACUGUUAUACAAGAAAAUUUAUCUUUUGAACGUGUCGAACAGUCGAAGUGGUUGAUUGAGAAAAUUUUAUCAUAAUACAAUAGGUAGUUUUCUUAUUUCAUGCAUAAGCAUACAUUAAAUAAUAAAUUAUACAUACAUACACCUCUAAAUAUUAUACAUAUCUAUGAAACGGCCAUACAAAGUGUAUAUAUUUUUUAUAAAUUUAUAUAUAAUUUAUAAAUUAUAUUAUAUGUGGACCAUUCACCUAAUAACUGUAUAUUUAAGUAAUAAUAUUUGACAAAGCAUUUUAUUGACAUUUCCCUUAAAUAUAUUCAUAAUUCUCAAAAUUGCACUAAUUUUUUUAGAACAUCAAAAUUAAUUUCAAUAGUAGGACACGCAUCAUUAUAUUUAUUUAUAGGAAAGAGAACGAGUCUAAAGCUUUCACAUAUUAUAUGACCAGAAAAAGUUAAAAAAUUUCUAAAUUAGAUUCGUUUAAAACGGAACAUAAAAAUGUGAGCAGGUUAAAUUAGAUAUUUUUAUUAUGUAUAUAUGUAAGAAUAUUUCUUCUUCUGUUGUGAGAAAUAGAAUACUUCAUCUUUUUCCUAACUUUUUAACUCAAUAUCAAUCCAUUUCUAUAAUCCAAGAUGAGGAAAUCUCUUCAAUUCUUGUUCACCUUCUUUACUAUGUUUAUCAUUCUCUCACUAGGAAUGAUGGCAGAUGCGCAAAAAAAGGAACGAAGGUGUACAUAUAAUGUCCGAGUUGACACACACAAGUCUUGUGAUGUACUGUGUAUUUAUCAUUGUAAAAAGCGAUUUGGACCUAUUGGUAAAAGUGUUUGUGAGAAGGAGCUUAAAGGAUAUUGUCAAUGCUCAGCUAUUUGCAAGGGUUCUCGAUAAAUGUUGGAAAGAUAAUGUUCAACAAAAUUAUAUAUUAUUUUUUUAACAAUAAAUAUCUAAAUAUUUAUGUUGAUACGACAAUAAAGCAUCAAAAUAUUUUUUAAGAUUUGUUAAUUUAUUUAUAAUAAAUAAUAGUUUUUAUAAGUACAACUGUGAAUAACAAGAUUGGACUUUUUAUAAAAUAAAUGAUCACAGUGUUAUUAAAUGUAGCCAAAAUUGCGUAUAAGAUCGUUAAAGAUCAAGAAGAGUUAAAAAAUAAAAAGAUAGAGAUGCAAUCACAGCCAAUUUUUAAAUGUGUGAUCAUCAACUAACAUGUAAGAUUUGUAUACAAUGUAAAAUAAAUGAAACAGCUAGAGUUGGUUAUUAAAAUGGUAAAUGAAAAAUUGAACUAAUGCAUUGCUUAUUUAUGGAAAAUUAAAGAAUUGGUGUAUUAAAAUAAUAAUAGAAUUAUUUGGUCAUAACAAGUUGUCGUUGUAAAAAAUAUGGAUCGUAUUUGAAAAUCUAUUACUUCGGUCAAAAUGAAAAAAACAUUGAGUCUAAAACGGUUAAUCGUUUAUCAUAUUGACUUUUUAUAGCGGUCAAUAUGAUAAACCAAAUUAUAUUAGGGUGAUAUUCGCUGUGAAUCAUCUAGCUCUUCCGUGAUUAGAACACAGUCUUCUAUCUCAAUCCAAGUUCUUUGCGUUAAGUAAAGAUAUUUAAAUAUCAAUCAAUUUGUUUAUUUUUCUUUCUUAUCUCUUCAGACCAAUGGAACAAAAAAAAAAUUAAUUGUACAUUAUUGUAUGGAUCAAAAUAUUGAGAAUUAAAUGUGUACCCUUGCAUCAAAAACAAUCAUAUUUGAUGUUAUACCAUGAUGCACAAUAUAUUGUUUGCAUAUAAUUUUACACAUGUUAUCCAAUAUUUUCUCUUUGAUUCAACUCUUCUAAGAUUUGAAAGGGUAAAAGACAUAAAAAUAAGGAACAUUGCCAAAAAUACCUAAUUCAUAAUACAACAUUUCAUGUUUACAUUAACCAUUUUUACCUUAACUUUAAAGAAGGAAAAAACAUUUAUAACCCUAGAGUUAACUAAUCUAAACUUAGGGUGUAGAGUUAAGGGACGAUGUAUGAUUUUUUGGAAUUUUGUGAAAUUUAGGAUUUUAAUAAUGAUAUAAAUAAAUACUUAAAAAAUACAACUUUUUUUUAGAAAAAAGUAGUUUGAAAAAUAAUUUUUGAUUUUCAAAAAAAAAAAAAUUUGAAAACAAAAUUCGAAUUUUUUUUUAUAAAAAGUUUGAAUUUGAAAUUAUAAAAUGUUACAUUAUGUAUUAUUUUUUAUAUAUAGAGAGAACAAGAGUAUAAGAAUUAUUUGGCUUAAAAUGUAUUUUUGAAAAUGUCUAUUUAGUGAUUGUAAACAUGAAUAAUGGUACCAACAAAGCGGUAAACAUGAAAAUCCCCCUAAAAAUAAAUAUUAUUACUCAAAAUGUGAAUAUCCAUCAACGGAAAAUGGUGUACCAACCAUUGCUAAUUCAAAUAUAUAAGCAAUUUUAUAAUAUCUUUAAUAGUUUCUAACUUAAUGGAAUUUUAUAAAUUUUAGUAAAAAAUAACUAUAUAUGUGCAAAGAACAUACACAUAUUUAUGCUAUUAUAUUUACUAUGUUUAUAUAAUAUAAUAUAUUAAAAUAUAUUUUCAUAAACCAAUAUGUAUUUGUCUUAUUUCAUAUAUAAACAUACACUAAACCUUAAAUUAUACAUACAUACAACUCUAAGUAUUAUACAUAUUCAUGAAAUGGCCAUACAAAUUCUAUAAUUUUUAUAAACUUAUGUAUAAUCAAUAAAGUAUAUUAUGUGUGGGCCAUCCACCUAAUAACUGUAUAUUUAUGUAAUAAUGUUUGAGAAAGUGUUUUAUUGACAUUUCCUUUAAAUACAUUUAAAAUUUUCAAAAUAGCAAUAAUUUUUGAUAAAUUUCUUGAAAUAUCAUAAGGUGGCUAACACUUUUUAAAAAAUACACUCGAUCAAAAAUAUUUUAAAUAAAUUAUCUUGGAGGCCAAAGUUUUUACAUAUAAAUAAAUUUGAUGUUAAAUUGAGAAAAGUUCUAUGAGCACAAAAUUAUAAAGGAUUAAUGAUGAAACAUAUAUUUUUCAGUUGAGAUAUAUUCAGAGACCAUAAAUAUUAAUAAAAAUUGAAAUUUCACAUAGUUUCACUAGUCUUUGUUUCAUUUGGGUUUUUCUCUCUACAUUAUUAGAAUUGUUCUGUAUAUAUAAGACGAUGAAGAAAAAAACACUAUUUUGUUUGAUAUAAGGAUCCGACUGGUGAUCAUUCUGGAAACAAGAAGAACGAACAAGAAAAGAAUGUAGAGGAAUAAAAUAUUAGGAAUGAAAAAGAAUGGUUAUUUUUUCUCAAAUCUAACGAGAAAUAAUUUUGUUCUUUAUUUUUCUACGAAAGAAAUGAGAGGGAAUGAAAGGAAAUAUUAUUCCUUGUGAAAGGUGAUUUUUUCUAUGAAUGUUAGGAAAUACAUUAUUCAUCGUCAUUCCUUGGUCAUCAUUUAUACCACUAAUGUAUUUACUUUUCAAAAUCGAAGAAUGACAAAAAAAAUCAUAAAUACAAUAAACAUAUUAAUGGUUCUCAAAGAAGAACCAAAGGUUGAAUUAGAGACUCUAAAUUCUGUGUUGAUGGAAACU
Long non-coding RNA from Brassica napus (rape), 5208 nucleotides. RefSeq lists it as uncharacterized. The transcript is spliced from 3 exons. The record is from RefSeq and is a predicted model, not a curated record. Lineage: Eukaryota; Viridiplantae; Streptophyta; Magnoliopsida; Brassicales; Brassicaceae.